GCCGCGCAGCCCCAGAUCGGCCACCGGGAAUUGCCGGCCUCCGCGCGUCCUCCGGAAGCUUCCCCUCGCGCUGCCCCAGCCCCGCGUGCCCGCUCGGUUCGCCAGCCCUCGAGCGCGCCGCGGCCGUGGGGAGGAUGAGCCGUAUCUACCACGAUAGCGCCCUCCACAACAAGGCGGUGCGCAGCGCGCGGCUGCCGGGGGCCUGGGACCCAGCCGCCCACCAGCGGGGAGAUGGCGUCCUGCUGGAGGGAGAAUUGCUCGAUGUAUCCCGGCACAGCAUCUCAGAUGCCCACGGCAGGAAGGAGCGCUACUACGUGCUGUAUAUCCGGCCAAGUCGCAUCCAUCGCCGUAAGUUCGACUCCAAGGGAAACGAAAUUGAGCCCAACUUCAGCGCCACCAGGAAGGUGAACACGGGCUUCCUCAUGUCCUCUUACAAGGUGGAAGCCAAGGGUGACUCGGACAGACUGACGCUCGAGGUGCUGAAGGGGCUGGUGAAUAAGCCGGAGCUGCUCGCGCUGACAGACAGCCUCACCCCCGCUGAGACAGUGGCCUUCUGGAUGCCCGAGUCAGAGAUGGAGGCCAUGGAGCUUGAACUCGGGGCUGGGGUACGGCUGAAAACUCGAGGCGACAGCCCCUUCCUGGAUUCAUUAGCCAAACUUGAGGCUGGAACAGUGACCAAGUGUAAUUUCGCUGGAGACGGGAAGACGGGAGCAUCCUGGACGGACAACAUCAUGGCCCAAAAGUCUUCGGGAGCGGCUGCAAGCGUUGGUGUGGUUUAUCUCUUGGCAGGAGUUUUGUAUGGACUGGUUGUGGCUGGGUGGUAGGAGAAAGAGACAGCAACUUAACUUUACUCCCAGCUUUGGUGGAAUUCCUGAGUGUGAGCCUGAUGAAAAGCCCCUCAAGGAUGACUGAGGUCAAGGAGAGAUGGGGUACCUCCAGGACCCACUGGCACCAUUGAGCAUUUCUUCCAUCAACUUUCACUCUGGAGCUCAGGGGACCAGGUCCACCAAACCUUACCUGGUUCUUCCCUACAGCCGCCGUGAAAUAUACUCUUCGAACAAGCUCUGCUAAAAUCAAAUCUCAGGCCCCGAUGUUAACCGUGGGGCGCGAGGCUGUGGCUCGUGUAGGGUCCCUCCCUGGAUGUGAAUCUAGCCUUCCCCAGACAUUUUCAUGGUGGCCCUUGCCCUGAGUGGCAGCCUUGUUUGUGGAGGCAGGCACAGGGCGAGCCCCCCUGGGGCAAUCAGAAGAUCUGGACUUGCUGCAGAACUGGGGGGAAUCCCUCAUCUGUACGCAGAAUGGCUCUGAGAAGUUAGCGGGGCCUCCUCCUUCUGUCCUAUCUCCUGCUUUCCUCCUGCAGCUGCCCUCCUCCCAGUCCUCUGUGCUGGGGGCCUCUGCCCUCCUGCUCAGGCCUCCUCUGCCCUCCUGCCGUUCUCGGCCCCCAGCACUGCCAGUUCUUUUUCUUCCUCUGGUUCUCUGCUACCUUGGGGGUUCCUGUCUCCCGACCUCCCUUGGCUGUUUUCCUGGGGAUGAUCUUUUUACAGAGGCUGAGCUCGUUCAUAGGUAUGGCCAGCUGGUCUCCUUCUCUCUGACUCCUUCCACCAGGCCACAGGCCACAUUUUGGAUAACCCCUUUUUUUCUUGUUUUGUACCUUGAGAAUUUUUUAUGAAUGAGUAAAAUUUAAGGAAAGGA
Molecule: RNA transcript, 1689 nt
Organism: Cervus elaphus (red deer)
Lineage: Eukaryota; Metazoa; Chordata; Mammalia; Artiodactyla; Cervidae
Gene: ARPIN
Gene name: actin related protein 2/3 complex inhibitor
Exons: 7
Source: RefSeq, a predicted model, not a curated record